This 1124-nucleotide long non-coding RNA is filed under the name Anas platyrhynchos platyrhynchos (common mallard). Its description in RNAcentral is "lncRNA (ENSAPLG00000023382.1)". Lineage: Eukaryota; Metazoa; Chordata; Aves; Anseriformes; Anatidae. The record is from RNAcentral.
UGCCUCGGAAACGGCAUGGGUGAUUUGAUAUGUUGCAUGCUACCAAUAGAGCAGACCAAAUGGGCUGUUUGGUUUGAGGACUAUUCUGGGAAGUGCUGCUCUGAAGAAGGCACUCACUGCAUUUUAGAUAAGGCGACCCUCCCUGCUCCUGGUCAUCAGAGAGCUCAAAGUGCCUUUGUAGUGUCAACACCAAUGCUGAGGCCAAGAGCUCCUCAUGUCAUUACCUUUCACCUACCCAAAUCCCCUGGCUGUUUCAGAGGGAUUUGAUACUUCUCUUUACUUCUGACUCUAAGCUUGUGCUCAUAAUAGCUCAUUGUUAAGCAGCUACAGCAUUCUCUCUUGGGGUGGCAGCCUCUAACUCUUGGAGCUACUGUAUAACAUUUAAUAUUUCAGCCUUCAACAGCCCCUGAAGGAUGGAGACACAGAAGGCAGCAUACAUGAAUAGCUUUUGGACAUUGUGUCCUCCAGGAGAACAUGAUCCCAUAGGAAGCUCUUCCAAGCACCCAGUAAUUACUGAAGUUUUAACUAGCAGCAGACUGAGCACUGAGUGCACCGUACGUGGUCAGGUUACUUCACCAAUACAGGCAUACGUACCACUUGCUGCGAGGAAAGGGGACAUGCCAGGCAGGAGGAUUUCUGCCAUGAAAAGGUGUAGGAUAGAGAAAAAAUGUAAGGAUGACACUGUUUAUACAGCAAAAGGGUUACUGAGCUAGGAUUAGGCACUCAAGGCUUCGAAAAGGGAGCAAAAAGACACAUUACGAUGAGUUUUGAUAGAAGAAAGUAGCAAAGACUUUACAGAGUGAGGAGGAAAAGCACAUAUCUUUAUAACGAAAUAUUUUGUGUUGGAUUUCAGCUGCAAUGAAAGUACAGGAUCUACGGAAAGAAAUCCAUCCAGCCCUUGGCUGAUUACUUUGAGGAAUUAUUAUAGAGCUUAUAUGCAGUCCCAUAUCUCGUCUCAGGAGCUAUACUGUACUUCCAUUCAUUCAGACGCACGCAGCUAUAACACAUCAAAUCCGACCAAAGGCGCGCUCUGUGGCGUCACCAAGAUGCAUGUUGAACCAGCUCUGAAGGAGAGUGCAAAACCCCAGAGCUGUAGGAACAAUAAAUAAAACAUCACACUACCA